Molecule: long non-coding RNA, 1175 nt
Organism: Paramacrobiotus metropolitanus
Lineage: Eukaryota; Metazoa; Tardigrada; Eutardigrada; Parachela; Macrobiotidae
Exons: 3
Source: RefSeq, a predicted model, not a curated record
CAGCACUAGUACUGCGUGAAAGAUAAGGCAGAACUCAGCGCUGAAACCCUUUGCAGUGAAUGGUUUUAACGCUGCGAUCUGCAACAGGCCAAAACAACGCUGGGACUGGCAACAUCACUGCAGGUAGUACCAGUAGCAGCUGCAAUUUGUCGACGCGCAUUGUCAGCGGAUCUUGACCAAACCAGAGAUCUUCCGCUACUUUAUGGAGCCAGGCAUGAUCUUUACGGACGAUACUGCCAUCUUGGGCUUCGACUGCAUCCUCGCCACUGUCACCGAGAAUGUCAUCCACGACGGCUUUACGCAUUAUGCUCUCGGUCCUGGAGCAUCAUGCGAAAUUCGGUGUGAUCCAGCUACAGUUUCGAAUUCGGCUGGUUGGCGGACUUUCCGUAACUGCAUAUGUAAAUGUUUCCGUUUGGGCCAAACGGAAAUAUCUGCCCACGCAGUUUCUGGAAAUUUCGCGGCUGAUUUCCUGUGAAACGCUAAAGAACUCAUUAAUAGUGGACGGCUGCAUGCAAGAAAAAAUCCCCGACAAGCUGGCGCUUGAAGCACCAUGUCAAAGCAUCAGAGCAGUUCGUAAUCGAAGGAGCAACAGUCUGCGACGAACUGACAGUAUUUCUGACACUGAAAUGCCGUCUGUCGACCAGGAGAAUGGCGUUCUAGUGGAUACACGGUUGAUUUCCGCCGCAUGGCCACUUCCUUAUACCUACGGCGCCGUUGAGUACAUGAUGAACUUCGUCCGGCUGCUCGGCACCCGGGCCAAGGUCAAAAAGAGGAAGGAAUAAUUAAAGGAAGGAAAUAUUUUUGGUCAAAAAGAGGAAGGAACAAUUAAAGGAAGGAAAUAUUUUUGGUCAAAAAGAGGAAGGAAUAAAUAAAGGAAGGAAAUUUCAUGGUCAAAAAGAGGAAGGAAUAUUUAAAGAAAGGAAUGUUUUUUUGACCAGAAAGGAAGAAAAUUUCGAUGGAAAAAAAUUGAAGGAAAUUUUUGUGGUCAAAAACGGAAAGAAAUUUCGAUUGUCAAAAACAAGAAAAAUUUUCUCUGCAGUUAAUGCGCUAAAAUUUGUAAAAAUAAAAUUUGUAAAAAGUUUUGGGAAUAAGGUACUUAAACGUUACUGUCCGUUUGAUCAAGUGAUGCUAGAAUACCUAAGCGUUACAGCCAAACCUAAUAAUUUUACGAUAAG